UGAAUACGAGACGCUAAGGCGUCGAAGUAGUGUAUGUCAUACUUCCAAGAAAAGCUUGCACUGUCAUAAGUAAAAAAUGCCUGUACCAUAACCGACACAGGUGGGUAGGUAGAGUAUACUAAGGGGCGCGAGAUAACUCUCUCUAAGGAACUCGGCAAAAUAACUCCGUAACUUCGGGAGAAGGAGUACCUUAUUCUAUAAGGUUGCAAUAACAAGAUCCAAGCAACUGUUUAUCAAAAACACAGGUCUCCGCUAAGUCGUAAGACGAUGUAUGGGGGCUGACGCCUGCCCAGUGCCAGAAGGUUAAAGAAGUCGGUUAGCAUUAGCGAAGCUGGUAACUGAAGCCCUGGUGAACGGCGGCCGUAACAAUAACGGUCCUAAGGUAGCGAAAUUCCUUGUCGGGUAAGUUCCGACCCGCACGAAAGGCGUAAUGAUUUGGAUACUGUCUCGGAGAGGGGCUCGGUGAAAUAGACUUGUCUGUGAAGAUGCGGACUACCUGCACCAGGACAGAAAGACCCUAUGAAGCUUUACUGUAACUUGAAAUUGAAAUUGGACUUUAUUCGCGCAGUAUAGGUGGGAGGUGUUGAUUAUAAUCUUGCGGGAUUAUUGGAGCCAUCAGUGAGAUACCACUCUUGUAAUGUUAGAUUUCUAACUUUGAAUCAUUAUCUGGUCAAAGGACAGUUUCAGGCGGGCAGUUUGACUGGGGCGGUCGCCUCCCAAACGGUAACGGAGGCGUACAAAGGUUUCCUCUGAACGGGUAGAAAUCGUAUCUAGAGUGUAAAGGCAUAAGGAAGCUUGACUGUGAGACCUACAAGUCGAACAGGGACGAAAGUCGGUCUUAGUGAUCUGACGGUACUGAGUGGAAAGGCCGUCACUCAACGGAUAAAAGUUACUCUAAGGAUAACAGGCUGAUCUCCCCCAAGAGUUCACAUCGACGGGGAGGUUUGGCACCUCGAUGUCGGCUCAUCGCAUCCUGGGGCGGUAGUACGUCCCAAGGGUUGGGCUGUUCGCCCAUGAAAGCGGUACGCGAGCUGGGUUCAGAACGUCGUGAGACAGUUCGGUCCAUAUCCGGUGUAGGCGUUAGAAUAUUGAGAGGAGCCUUCUUUAGUACGAGAGGACCGAGAAGGACAUACCUCUGGUGUACCAGUCAUCGUGCCGACGGUAAACGCUGGGUAGCUAUGUAUGGAGUGGAUAACCGCUGAAAGCAUCUAAGUGGGAAGCCCACCUCAAGAUAAGUAUUCUCC
This 1244-nucleotide ribosomal RNA is filed under the name metagenome. RNAcentral describes it as "bacterial LSU rRNA". It matches the Rfam family "Bacterial large subunit ribosomal RNA", at positions 1564 to 2816 of the family's 2925-position model. The record is from RNAcentral.